GGCAAAGGGCUCAGCCCUAAAGUUGUGGCCAGGCCCAUCUAACCUUAUCCCCUCCCUCUCUUAUCUCCCACACCCGCGCCGCCGCUCCCUCCUCUGCCCCACCUGCGCCGCAGCCCCCUCCCUUGUCCCACCCGCGUUGGCUGAAAGCUUGCGGUCGCGCUCGUUUUGGCAGCAGCGACGCGCGCCUUCCUCUUCUCGGCGCCGCGUGGCGCGUUCCCCUUGCGCUGAGGCCUGCUCUCUGGGCGGUUGUGGACGAAACGACGACGGCUGCCGUCGCGAGAACGGACGACGAAGCCUCCCAAGGCGGUGAGACGAGCCUUCUUCCCAGGGGUCCUCAUGGAGACACCGUCGUGGAUGAUGCGGUGCAGGAUCUCGGGGAGGUCCUUGAGGUAGCCGAACUCCGCGACGGGGCCCGCGUUGAGGGCGAGCGUCGUGGGGUGGCAGCCGUGCAUCCACAGCGUGGCGCCGUAGAACCCCUCGCGGUCCGACUUGCCGGUGCCACGCACGCCGCGGAGGUUGCACGCGAGGGGGAGCGCGGUGCUGGGCUCGGCCGCCCACGCGUCGGCGAGGAGGGAGGCGAUGGACGCUGCCGGGGUGCCCGGGACGACGUGGAAGAAGAAGUCGAGGCAGGGGUCCCCCGAGGAGAUGAACGUCUGCGACGAGUUCUCCGUGCGCGCCUUCUUCGGCGCGGGCGUCGGCUUCGGAGUCAGCUUGUUGAACUCGGCGUCCAUCAGGUCUAGGAACGCGUCGCUGGUGGUGGGCAUGGCCGCGGCCGCCUUCUCGGCCGCCGCCGCUGCGCGCGCGGACGCCGCGCGGAGGCUCUCUGCUGGUGGGCCGAGGAGGGUGUAGGACACGGCGUUCCGGCUCGCCGGAGUCGCCAUGGGUUGGUAGCUACCAGGGGCGGAUGUAGAGUAGUAGCAUGGGGGACAGCUGUCCCCCCAUUUUUUUUAAAAAAAACAUCUAGUAUAUAUACCCUUUAAUAAUAUAUACAUAUAUAAUACAUUGAUGUAUAUAAUUGCUAGUCUGCUCAGCUCAUAUAACAACCUUAACACUUUACAUUCACAACUAUUUUAUCACCGUUUAGUACAUAUUGAUGAAUUAUAUCGUUUUCGUUCGUACCCCAUAAUUAAAAUCCUAGAUCCGCCACUGGUAGCUACCUACUUAGCUUGCAAUAUUUUUCCUCAUUUCAAUUCAUCAUCAGCUGAUUUGGUACCAGCAGAGCACAAGAUCUAGUGGACUCCAUCUCGCAGCCUCCAGCUAGGGGCGCGGGCAGCAGAGCACAAGAUGUAGUGGACUCCAUCUCGCAGUCGCAGGUAUGGCUUCUCUUCUGUAGCAGACGAUAUGUUAAGCAGAGGAUUGAUAGAGUGGGAGAGUACUACUCUUUCCAGUUCACUAAAUUGCUAUUCCUUUAAUAUUUUGAUAGAAUUUUUUUAUGUUUGCAGUGAUAAUUUUGGUGCAGAUUGGAGAUUCACAGGCUGAUGGAAAGUUUUCUGAAUUUUGUGAUAUGUUUGAAUUCUGGAUUUAUAAUUCAUAGGUGAUUUGUGAUUCCAGUGAUUGGAACUUGGAGUUAACAGAUUCGGACUGAGUGAACAAUCUUUUAUGCUUGCCCCUUCCAAUUGCAAAGCUACUGCAAUCUUUUAUUCUCAUUGCUUUUGUCAAAAGAAAUUUGUUAUCCUGGUUUUGGACUCCACUGCUACUCAGUCCUAAAAAAAGAAUAACUUUGAAGCAUUUAGCUGUUAAUAAGUGUUUUGCCAGCAAUUGAUUUGUCAUUUAGUUUAUUAAAUAGUAUUGAAACAUUUAGUGAGUGUGUGUCAGAUUUAUUUGAUUUUCGACAAAAGGAUAGAACAUCUAAGAAUUCUUAGAAAUUUAGUUCUUUUCAUGUAGUGUCAGGUUUAAAUUUUUAAAUAUUGAAUUGUCGCUGUCUGAACUUUCUUCACACCAACAACAUAGAUUCAUGGCUAUAAGAAAUUAUUUUUCUAUACCUUGCAAGAGGUAAAGAAACACAUAAGAGUCUCUUUGUUGUCUACUUAUAAAGUCUUGAUGAAUGGUUGGGUAAAUACUACAUAUGUUUUACCUUUUCUUUUGUGUCGCAUCUUUCUAUACCAAUAUUCUUUUUGGAGCUCCUUUAGUUUCUUUGUUUUUUUUUCUGUUUUACACAUAUUCCAUCUAUGAAUGCUUUGGACAUAAUUAUAUGUGGCCUUUUUUACCUAAAAUCGAAGGGGGGUUAAGACAAUGAUCUCUUGGUACAGAAAAUGUUACCUGGGUGUUUGUUGAGCCCUGAAAGUGGCACGAUUGCAAUUGUCUUUUGCAAUUUUAAUCACUAUCGGCGUAUUAGAAAGCUACAUUCUUUCUUAAAUAGUGUAAUCCUUAGCCGUCACAGAUUAUAUUUCAUUUUUUCAGAAUUUUCUGGCAUGCUUUCUUAUGUGCCCUUCUUUUUUAUGAAAAAAAUCUAGGUGAAAUGGAAUACUUGAUGGGAUAGCAUAAAUAGCGUUGAGCAGAAUUAUAAGCUUGAUGUUAGCUCUUUUUUUGCAUGUUUAUGAAUCUACAUCUCAGGCUAGAUUCAUAGCAGAAUUCUCUAAUCAGGGGGAUUUGUUGAUUUUACUUUUUUUCUUGGCAGGGCUUAUGAAUCUGCAGCGGUACUUACAGUCAUUUGCUUUAUCUUCUCAGAUACAUAAUUCGCCACUGGGCUAUUGGCAAGCAAUUGCCGCUUCUGGUAUGUGUUACCUAUGUCAAUAAUAAUGCAACUAAUUUGGUUAUUUCAGAAAUUAAAUCAUGUUGUAUUUUUGAAUGGGUAUCUUGUUGUUUUCAAGCACUGCAUGAAAGAACUAUUUACCACUUCUUAUUUUUUAGUCCAAGCAAAGUUUUGGAUUUGUGAGAAAAAACAUAUUGUAGUGUUGCUUAGAAUUUUUAAUAAUAUCAAUUGUAGAUGAAUUUAUACCCAUGUAUAAAUCACUCUGAUCGAACCAAGGUUGAAAAUUCAGGCUGUACCAAGCCUAAUCAUUUUCUACUUUGCUGUAGGUUCAGAAUAGAUUUUCCUUUGAUAUGAAUUGCAAAUACAAUGGCAACUUGCAUGUGAAGAUGUAUCUUUGUUCUUUUCAAUGCCUGUUCAAGUAAGUAUAAGUUUCCUCCUCUCUUCAGUUAUUUUCCAAUGCUCUGUACAUGUCCAAUGCUGCAAGAGAGCUACUGCAUAUGUUGUCCUCUCUGAACAUUGUCAGCUGCAAACCUUAUUGUUUAUUACAGUAUUCUCUGUUCGCACUUCUAAAUUUGUACUUUGGUUUAUAAUGGUUUUUGCAGGAUCUCAAGAACACCUUAUACUCAAUGUAGUUAGAGCUUACUGUUAAAUGUCUUCUAUGUUGCUGCUCAUGUAUUAUUAUAAAUCUUGUAGGCUGCAGCAACUUGAGUAGAUGCUUUGUAGAUAAGUUGUAUCUGAAGUUUGUAAAGAAUUUGAUUGCUGAAAUGGAUGAAAUAUGUGUAAUGCUUGCUGAAAUGGAUGAAAUAUGUGUUUUUCUAUAUCGUGAUUAGUGACGCGUUUAGCCAAGGUGCGUCGCUGCUGAGAUCCACAUUAGUGACGUGGCUCAACUCAACGCGUCGCUGCUCAAGGGUCAUCGUGACGCGUCAAGGCUGAACGUGUCACCCCUAAAGGUCAUUAGUGACGCGUAUAGGUUGAACGCGCCACCUACCAAUAAAGACAGUCGGCAAAGAAUUUCUGUUCUGAAAGAAAUUAAAACAGCCUUUGCCACCUGCCAAUAAAGGCAGUCGGCAAAGAGUCCUUUGCCACCUGCCAACAAAGGCAGUCGGCAAAGAAUUUCUGUUUAAAAAAAAUGAAAAGAGCCUUUGCCACCUGCCGCGUGGCAGUCGGCAA
Molecule: long non-coding RNA, 3862 nt
Filed under: Sorghum bicolor (sorghum)
Lineage: Eukaryota; Viridiplantae; Streptophyta; Magnoliopsida; Poales; Poaceae
Description: long non-coding RNA (SBIC_LNC007995)
Source: RNAcentral